AGUGAACGCUGGCGGUAGGCCUAACACAUGCAAGUCGAACGGCAGCACAGUAAGAGCUUGCUCUUACGGGUGGCGAGUGGCGGACGGGUGAGGAAUACAUCGGAAUCUACUUUUUCGUGGGGGAUAACGUAGGGAAACUUACGCUAAUACCGCAUACGACCUACGGUUGAAAGCAGGGGAUCUUCGGACCUUGCGCGAUUGAAUGAGCCGAUGUCGGAUUAGCUAGUUGGCGGGGUAAAGGCCCACCAAGGCGACGAUCCGUAGCUGGUCUGAGAGGAGGAUGAGCCACAUUGGAACUGGGCCACGGUCCUGACUCCUACGGGAGGCAGCAGUGGGGAAUAUUGGACAAUGGGGGCAAGCCUGAUCCAGCCAUACCGCGUGGGUGAAGAAGGCCUUCGGGUUGUAAAGACCUUUUGUUGGGAAAGAAAAGCAGCAGCUUAAUACCCCGCUGUUCUGACGGUACCCAAAGAAUAAGCACCGGCUAACUUCGUG
Molecule: ribosomal RNA, 492 nt
Filed under: uncultured bacterium
Lineage: Bacteria
Description: partial 16S ribosomal RNA
Rfam family: Bacterial small subunit ribosomal RNA
Source: RNAcentral